UACAGAGGGGGCAAGCGUUGUUCGGAAUUACUGGGCGUAAAGGGCGCGUAGGCGGCCUUCUAAGUCGAACGUGAAAUCCCCGGGCUCAACCCGGGAACUGCGUCCGAUACUGGAAGGCUUGAAUCCGGGAGAGGGAUGUGGAAUUCCAGGUGUAGCGGUGAAAUGCGUAGAUAUCUGGAGGAACACCGGUGGCGAAGGCGGUUCUCUGGGCCUUACCUGACGCUGAGGAGCGAAAGCAUGGGGAGCAAACAGG
This 253-nucleotide ribosomal RNA is filed under the name uncultured bacterium. Its description in RNAcentral is "partial 16S ribosomal RNA". It matches the Rfam family "Bacterial small subunit ribosomal RNA", at positions 524 to 776 of the family's 1533-position model. The record is from RNAcentral.